Molecule: ribosomal RNA, 447 nt
Filed under: uncultured bacterium
Lineage: Bacteria
Description: bacterial SSU rRNA
Rfam family: Bacterial small subunit ribosomal RNA
Source: RNAcentral
UGGGGAAUCUUGGACAAUGGGCGCAAGCCUGAUCCAGCAAUACCGCGUGAGUGAUGAAGGCCUUAGGGUUGUAAAACUCUUUCAGUGGGGAAGAUAAUGACGGUACCCACAGAAGAAGCACCGGCUAACUCCGUGCCAGCAGCCGCGGUAAUACGGAGGGUGCAAGCGUUGUUCGGAAUUACUGGGCGUAAAGAGUGCGUAGGCGGCUUGGCAAGUUGGGAGUGAAAUCCCGGGGCUCAACCUCGGAAUUGCUCUCAAAACUGCUGAGCUAGAGUAUGGUAGGGGAUAGUGGAAUUCCUAGUGUAGGGGUGAAAUCCGUAGAUAUUAGGAGGAACACCAGAGGCGAAGGCGACUAUCUGGGCCAUUACUGACGCUAAGGUACGAAAGCGUGGGGAGCAAACAGGAUUAGAUACCCUUGUAGUCCCUGAGCGGGCUGGCAAGGCGCAU